This 290-nucleotide long non-coding RNA is filed under the name Drosophila guanche. Lineage: Eukaryota; Metazoa; Arthropoda; Insecta; Diptera; Drosophilidae. The record is from RNAcentral.
GCUGUAAAGUACUAGAUCUUGGAUAAGUCACUGAUCGAUUGUCAAACGGUGCUGUAAAGUGCGAGAACUAGUAGCAAAAGCGGGCUUAAGGAUUUUUGAAAGUAAUAUUCUAUUACUUUACAAUCCCCACUCGCAUAUCAAACUAAAUCUAUUCCUAUAUUCAAUAAAAUAAAUGUAAUAUGCAAAACAGCCGGACAACUGCUACAGCAGCGGCAGUACAAACUGCUCCAGUGGCCCGCCUGUCGUCCAAUAUCAGCAAAUUUGCAAUAAAAUAUUUGUCUGGCCGUCGC